RNAcentral lists this ribosomal RNA (429 nucleotides) under Actinomycetes bacterium. RNAcentral's name for it is "Actinobacteria bacterium partial 16S ribosomal RNA". It matches the Rfam family "Bacterial small subunit ribosomal RNA", at positions 355 to 776 of the family's 1533-position model. The record is from RNAcentral. Lineage: Bacteria; Bacillati; Actinomycetota; Actinomycetes.
UAGGGAAUCUUCCGCAAUGGGCGAAAGCCUGACGGAGCAACGCCGCGUGAGUGAUGAAGGUCUUCGGAUCGUAAAACUCUGUUAUUAGGGAAGAACAAAUGUGUAAGUAACUAUGCACGUCUUGACGGUACCUAAUCAGAAAGCCACGGCUAACUACGUGCCAGCAGCCGCGGUAAUACGUAGGUGGCAAGCGUUAACCGGAAUUAUUGGGCGUAAAGCGCGCGUAGGCGGUUUUUUAAGUCUGAUGUGAAAGCCCACGGCUCAACCGUGGAGGGUCAUUGGAAACUGGAAAACUUGAGUGCAGAAGAGGAAGGUGGAAUUCCAUGUGUAGCGGUGAAAUGCGCAGAGAUAUGGAGGAACACCAGUGGCGAAGGCGACUUUCUGGUCUGUAACUGACGCUGAUGUGCGAAAGCGUGGGGAUCAAACAGG